RNAcentral lists this non-coding RNA (116 nucleotides) under Lacticaseibacillus rhamnosus. RNAcentral's name for it is "Lactobacillus rhamnosus Magnesium sequence". It matches the Rfam family "M-box riboswitch aptamer (ykoK leader)", at positions 50 to 169 of the family's 169-position model. Rfam says of the family: M-box riboswitch, also know as ykoK leader is described as a metaloregulatory RNA that sense divalent metals and function as a genetic control element of genes related to divalent metal transport in bacteria. It was first reported upstream of the B.subtilis ykoK gene and genes with related functions in other bacteria. The record is from RNAcentral. Lineage: Bacteria; Bacillati; Bacillota; Bacilli; Lactobacillales; Lactobacillaceae.
GAAACAUCGAGAGAUGCCAAUUGAGUCAACUGCGUCUGCCCAUUAAGGCUUACGCUAAUGCAGCUGAAGCUCGCUUCUAGGCGUAUAGUGCUAAAACUAAACGAUUGGGAUGCUUU